This is a long non-coding RNA of Oncorhynchus keta (chum salmon), 1189 nucleotides long. RefSeq lists it as uncharacterized. The transcript has 4 exons. The record is from RefSeq and is a predicted model, not a curated record. Lineage: Eukaryota; Metazoa; Chordata; Actinopteri; Salmoniformes; Salmonidae.
GUGGACUGGAUGCUGUGGGAGUGUCUAUCACUUCUAUAACUCCUCCCCCAUGUCUGGCUGGACCGGGUUUAUAUAUCAGCAGCUUCAAUCAGCUCCUCUCCCGUCUGUGGACUGGAUGCUGUGGGAGUGUCUAUCACUUCUAUAACUCCUCUCCCAUGUCUGGCUGGACCGGGUUUAUAUAUCAGCAGCUUCAAUCAGCUCCUCUCCCGUCUGUGGACUGGAUGCUGUGGGAGUGUCUAUCACUUCUAUAACUCCUCUCCCAUGUCUGGCUGGACCGGGUUUAUAUAUCAGCAGCUUCAAUCAGCUCCUCUCCCGUCUGUGGACUGGAUGCUGUGGGAGUGUCUAUCACUUCUAUAACUCCUCUCCCAUGUCUGGCUGGACCGGGUUUAUAUAUCAGCAGCUUCAAUCAGCUACGUGAAUCCCUUUCUAAUGUGUAUUUAACAAUGGUGGAAUCUCCCUUCAGCCAACAACUUUAUCAACUUUCAAAGCAGAAUUACUUCCCCACUUGGAAGUCAGUGUUCUUCAGGUGGUAAAGUCACCGCUCUAGAAAGAUGCCUGAGUUUCCCCACUUGGAAGUCAGUGUUCUUCAGGUGGUAAAGUCACCGCUCUAGAAAGAUGCCUGAGUUUCCCCACUUGGAAGUCAGUGUUCUUCAGGUGGUAAAGUCACCGCUCUAGAAAGAUGCCUGAGUUUCCCCACUUGGAAGUCAGUGUUCUUCAGGUGGUAAAGUCACCGCUCUAGAAAGAUGCCUGAGUUUCCCCACUUGGAAGUCAGUGUUCUUCAGGUGGUAAAGUCACCGCUCUAGAAAGAUGCCUGAGUUUCCCCACUUGGAAGUCAGUGUUCUUCAGGUGGUAAAGUCACCGCUCUAGAAAGAUGCCUGAGUUUCCCCACUUGGAAGUCAGUGUUCUUCAGGUGGUAAAGUCACCGCUCUAGAAAGAUGCCUGAGUUUCCCCACUUGGAAGUCAGUGUUCUUCAGGUGGUAAAGUCACCGCUCUAGAAAGAUGCCUGAGUUUCCCCACUUGGAAUUCCGAGUUUGAUGACCGUUCAAAAAUAUUUUUUCCCAGUUGGAGCUCGUUUUAUUUUUGAGUUCCUCAUUUGUUUUGAACGCGGCACUAGCCUAAGAAAGUGACACGUAAGUUUCCAUGAAGUGGCCAACAAAUUUUGUUGACUUUUUGAAUGGUCUCCAACGGG